This 253-nucleotide ribosomal RNA is filed under the name uncultured bacterium. Its description in RNAcentral is "partial 16S ribosomal RNA". It matches the Rfam family "Bacterial small subunit ribosomal RNA", at positions 524 to 776 of the family's 1533-position model. The record is from RNAcentral.
UACGGAGGAUCCAAGCGUUAUCCGGAAUCAUUGGGCUUAAAGGGUCCGUAGGCGGUCUAAUAAGUCAGUGGUGAAAGCCCAUCGCUUAACGAUGGAACGGCCAUUGAUACUGUUAGACUUGAAUUAUUGGGAAGUAACUAGAAUAUGUAGUGUAGCGGUGAAAUGCUUAGAUAUUACAUGGAAUACCAAUUGCGAAGGCAGGUUACUAGCAAUAUAUUGACGCUGAUGGACGAAAGCGUGGGGAGCGAACAGG